UGUUCGUUUCGUCUCCGCUACUUCGUCUACUAGAUGAAUGGACCUUGCGUUCUGAGAAGUGUCUAAAGAGUCUCUAAUAAUGUUCACAUUUUUAUGGUGAUAAAAUAUACCUAAAUAUUCGAAGAAAGAAAAAAGAUCAUAAAUAUAAUAAUUCUGGCAUAUAAAGGAAGGUAUGGAUAUGGGGAAAAUUCUAAAAAUUGAAAUUUAUUAUUGUGCUGAAAUAGUCAUAUGCAUGAGUGUUUUUAAAUUUUGAUUGGACCCUUUAAAAUAAAAUCAAUUGCACAUUUAUGUAUUGAAAGGACACAAAAUUAAAAACUUACAUGACUAUUUCAACAAUCAAUAUGCGGCAUCAUCAUCUCAUCACCAGAAUGCACGAGGGCAAGGAAAAGGCAUGCGUCACAUCACAAUCAGCUUCUGCAGUGCGGAAAGGAGUCGCAGGACAAUGCUGAGAGGCUGCUGUCAGGACGGACAAAAGCGCUUAUCUUUUUGCAUACGCUAUAUAUGUAACAGCCUGGUUUGCCAUGUCUCGCCCGUGCUGCGCAUCCAAGAAUAUAGCGGGAACAUACGCUAAAUGCGAGCUUUCUGCUUCAAAGGACAUAACCGAAAGUUAUCAAUGAUAACUGUGAUAUCAAAGCAAAUAUAAUACACCACUGUGUGUCAAAAUAAAAGGAAAAUACGUUAUAAAUUGUACGGAGCUUUCCUCGAUGAUGGUGAUGAGGGUCGUGGAAGGAUUUCAGGACUGAGUAUAUUGAAUUUCUGAAAAGCGCGUCGAGUUUCAAGCGGAUGAUACGCGCCGCGGGCUCGAUUAUGCCGAAGCAAGUUAGGCGAAGGGAUCCACCUUCAGGCGCGCUUCUACAACGUAUGAUGGCAAACAACAUCUUGUAUAGUGCAUGAUACUACCUGAGUAAAAUUCUUUCUUAAUUAUUAAAUAUGCAAGAAAAAAAUAUUUAAGAAUCAAAUAAAUAAAAAAAAUUUGAAUGUUCCUAUUCGCACGCAAUUGAUAAUGGGCUGCGAGCUUUGAAUAUGUUAAUCAAAAUAAGACGUAUUUAUUUUUGUUUUAUAAGUACAUAUAUGUUAAAGA
Acromyrmex echinatior (Panamanian leafcutter ant) is the source of this 1081-nucleotide long non-coding RNA. RefSeq lists it as uncharacterized. The record is from RefSeq and is a predicted model, not a curated record. Lineage: Eukaryota; Metazoa; Arthropoda; Insecta; Hymenoptera; Formicidae.